CAAAUACUACUUCCGUCCGAAAAUACUUGUCCUAAAGAUGAAUGUAUCUAGACUUAUUUUAAUUGUAGAUACAUUCAUUAUAUGUAUUUUUAAGACAAGUAUUUUCGGACGAAGGGAGUACUUA
RNAcentral lists this microRNA precursor (124 nucleotides) under Hordeum vulgare. RNAcentral describes it as "microRNA MIR1122". It matches the Rfam family "MIR1120/MIR1122 microRNA precursor family". Lineage: Eukaryota; Viridiplantae; Streptophyta; Magnoliopsida; Poales; Poaceae. The record is from RNAcentral.